Molecule: ribosomal RNA, 259 nt
Filed under: uncultured prokaryote
Description: partial 16S ribosomal RNA
Rfam family: Bacterial small subunit ribosomal RNA
Source: RNAcentral
UACGGAGGAUGCAAGCGUUAUCCGGAUUUAUUGGGUUUAAAAGGGUGCGCAGGUUGUUUGAUAAGUCAGUAGUGUAAAGUCUGUCGCUUAACGGUAGGAUUGCCAUUGAUACUGUUGGACUUGAAUAUGGAUGAGGUAGGCGGAAUGUGUAGUGUAGCGGUGAAAUGCAUAGAUAUUACACAGAACACCGAUUGCGAAGGCAUCUCACAAAGCCGUUAUUGACGCUGAGGCACGAAAGUGUGGGGAUCAAACAGGAUUA